Molecule: ribosomal RNA, 557 nt
Filed under: uncultured bacterium
Lineage: Bacteria
Description: bacterial SSU rRNA
Rfam family: Bacterial small subunit ribosomal RNA
Source: RNAcentral
UAAUUCGAGGCUACACGAAGAACCUUACCUGGGCUUGACAGGACGGUGGUAGGGAACCGAAAGGGGACCGACUUCGGGAGCCGUCACAGGUGCUGCAUGGCUGUCGUCAGCUCGUGUCGUGAGAUGUUCGGUUAAGUCCGGUAACGAGCGCAACCCUCGUCGCCAGUUACAGGUUGUCUGGCGAGACUGCCCGUACCAAGCGGGAGGAAGGUGGGGAUGACGUCAAGUCAGCAUGGCCUUGAUGUCCAGGGCGACACACACGCUACAAUGGCCGGUACAAUGGGGCGCCAACCCGCGAGGGGGAGCCAAUCCCAGAAAACCGAUCGUAGUCCGGAUCGCACUCUGCAACUCGAGUGCGUGAAGUCGGAAUCGCUAGUAAUCGCGGAUCAGCAUGUCGCGGUGAAUACGUUCCCGGGUCUUGUACACACCGCCCGUCACACCAUGGGAGUGGGUUUUGCCAGAAGUGGGUAGCCUAACCGCAAGGAGGGCGCUUACCACGGCAGGGCUCAUGACUGGGGUGAAGUCGUAAAAGGUAACCAAGGCGAAUUCCGAGCACA